UACGUAGGUGACGAGCGUUAUCCGGAUUUACUGGGCGUAAAGCGCUUGUAGGUGGUUUCGUAAGUUGGGCGUGAAAUCUCUGGGCUUAACCCGGAGAGGCCGUUCAAUACUGCGAGGCUAGAGGAUGUCAGAGGAAGGUGGAAUUCCUGGUGUAGUAGUGAAAUGCGUAGAUAUCAGGAGGAACACCCGUGGCGAAGGCGACCUUCUAGGACGUACCUGACACUGAGAAGCGAAAGCCAGGGGAGCAAACAGGAUUAGAAACCCUGGUAGUCCUGGCUGUAAACGAUGAAUACUAGGUGUAGGCGGCGUAAAACCUGUCUGUGCCGAAGCUAACGCGUUAAGUAUUCCGCCUGGGAAGUACGAUCGCAAGAUUA
Molecule: ribosomal RNA, 374 nt
Filed under: uncultured prokaryote
Description: bacterial SSU rRNA
Rfam family: Bacterial small subunit ribosomal RNA
Source: RNAcentral